This 69-nucleotide transfer RNA is filed under the name Microdous chalmersi. RNAcentral describes it as "tRNA-Arg". It matches the Rfam family "tRNA". Rfam says of the family: Transfer RNA (tRNA) molecules are approximately 80 nucleotides in length. Their secondary structure includes four short double-helical elements and three loops (D, anti-codon, and T loops). Further hydrogen bonds mediate the characteristic L-shaped molecular structure. tRNAs have two regions of fundamental functional importance: the anti-codon, which is responsible for specific mRNA codon recognition, and the 3' end, to which the tRNAs corresponding amino acid is attached (by aminoacyl-tRNA synthetases). tRNAs cope with the degeneracy of the genetic code in two manners: having more than one tRNA (with a specific anti-codon) for a particular amino acid; and 'wobble' base-pairing, i.e. permitting non-standard base-pairing at the 3rd anti-codon position. The record is from RNAcentral. Lineage: Eukaryota; Metazoa; Chordata; Actinopteri; Gobiiformes; Odontobutidae.
AGGUGAUUAUUUUAAAUAAAAUAUUUGAUUUCGGCUCAAAAGCUUAUGGUUAAAAUCCACAAUUACCUA